CCGCCCUGAAAAGUUGUGCGCAGGCUCGAGGCGCCUCGGUUGAACUGAGUCUGCGCGAAGUCGAACUGCACACGCGCAGUGUUUAAACCCGGAACUGGUGGUGUCUUUUCCUCUGCAUGGAUUAACCCACAAUGACAGUUAGACUGCAGCAGUUCAAGAAGCUCAUCCCCACCUUUUGAAUUUGGCAACUAGGAAUGAGCAAUAAAUGCUGGCCCAGCCAGCGAUGCCCGAUUCCCAUGACUGAAAAAAACAGAGACAAACUCAAUUGGGAAUUGUAAUUUAUUGUUCUUGAUGUCAUGGAAGGCACUGCUUGAGUUCUGAUGGGAUGCUCUGAGGCUUCUUAUUGUCAUCUAUGUCAUUCAGGGCCUGGGAACAUUCCACCUGCUUCUUGUCUUCAGUUCAGUUUACUGGAACAGAAACUCCCUUAACAGUAUUUCUGACACAGAUAUAACUGUAAUUAAUAAACUGUGGUUCGUGUUCUUUCUCUGUGCCCCCCAGGCUACGUGCUGCUUCCUUCUCAGAACUUUGUGCUGAGAAACUUGCCCUCGCUCUCAGUACAAACCAGUCACUGAUGGAGUUGUCCAUCUCACUCAACAUCUUAACCAACAAUCCUGUACCCUCAUUGCUCCACUGGGUACAAACUGCAGCGUCUGGAAUAAAUCAAAUUGUGGCGAAAUGAAUUCAUUCCAAUUGGGGAAAGAAGAGAAUCCUGAAGUCGCUCCGAUCCAGACUGAGGGGGGCUGUGAGAAUCUUGGAAGUUAUAAGCAUCACUGCUGUCAUCAUAUUUUGCUGAUUCUGCACCCACCCCUACUUCUUACAACCGUCUGUACUGAAGGUUGAAAUUCUAUUGAAGAUUUUCCAGUCGAGGAGGGUGUUCUCUCAUUGUGAGGUCAGAGGCCCAGACCUUCAGAGAUACGGCCUCACAGUGUGGUUUCUACAGGAUAUCUCUGCCUCAAUGUUUCUUGCUGGAGACACGCACAGGCAUGAAGGAGCCAGAAUGGGACUCUGUCUCGGCUGAAAUGAAACACUAACAAUUACACUCCAUAUUCGUAGGCCUGUGGGGUACGUUACUCCAGGUUCCUGCUCACUACCGUACCCAGUAAGCCUACUGGAAGGUGAAUCUGUGUUGGAGUGAAAGGGGACUGUGCCUCUCAGCUGAGAGGGAAUCCUCUGCCAAUAACAUCCACUCUCGGGAUUCACUCAGUGACAGCUCUUUUUUGGAUAUUCCUGG
Molecule: non-coding RNA, 1231 nt
Organism: Chiloscyllium plagiosum (whitespotted bambooshark)
Lineage: Eukaryota; Metazoa; Chordata; Chondrichthyes; Orectolobiformes; Hemiscylliidae
Source: RefSeq, a predicted model, not a curated record